RNAcentral lists this transfer RNA (74 nucleotides) under uncultured marine phage. RNAcentral's name for it is "tRNA-Lys". It matches the Rfam family "tRNA". From Rfam's summary of the family: Transfer RNA (tRNA) molecules are approximately 80 nucleotides in length. Their secondary structure includes four short double-helical elements and three loops (D, anti-codon, and T loops). The record is from RNAcentral.
UCCCCUAUAGCUCAGUUGGUAGAGCAACGGACUUUUAAUCCGUUGGCCGUAGGUUCAAGUCCUACUGGGGGAAC